Molecule: non-coding RNA, 4239 nt
Organism: Paramuricea clavata
Lineage: Eukaryota; Metazoa; Cnidaria; Anthozoa; Malacalcyonacea; Plexauridae
Source: the annotation of a GenBank genome assembly
UUUCCAUAUGUAUAUACAGUACGUAUUCCAUAUAUGGUCAUCUCUUGCAUAAUACUGAUGAGCAAAUACACGACACUCACGAGCAUAUACAUGACGCUGAAGAGCAAAUACACGACGGAAUACUUGCCCCAAGACUCCGAUGUAAACGCUCGCUAUUUAUGAAUUAUGAAAAUGGCGGGUUCUGGUAGAAUGAAGUGUUGUUCGUAUUGUUCGCAUUUGCUGUCUAAAUAUCUUUAUAUCUAUUUCUUCGUAGUUUGUAUAUCUUCUUAGAUCAAGAUACAUAUUAUAAGCUGAAAGCCUGAAUACUGAAAGGUAAGAGAACCGAAAAAAUCCCAGCUUUCUCUCUUGCUAUAAAGUAAUAAAUCUAUGAUUUAUUGAUAUUUUACCUUGUUUUUAUCUACUUUUGACACUUUCAACUUUUAGUAAUACAUGCACUUUAUCAAUAUUUUCUUUACCGAACAGCGUCUUGGUCAGCUUGUUUAUUAAUGCUGUUGUUUUUAACAUUAAUGAUAAAAGGAAUGAAAGCAAACUUUCUAUAAACAGCAAUGAAUCAUAUGAAGGUCUUUGACUGCCAAUGUGUCAUUGUGUGUAUAACUAUAAGGGCUGUUCAUAUGAGCACGGAUCUGCCGGGUUGGUCCGGCUAGUCAUACAUUUUAAAAAUUGCAUUCAUAUGGAAUGGCGGUUGGCCCGGCAUUGCCGGGCUUAUGUGAUUGCAACAACCGGACCAGCCUGGCUAGCUGGGCUGAACAUGUUCUGCUUCAUGUUCAUGCUGUGUUCACAGUGCACCAGUGAUAAAUUGCCGGGCUCAUGCAGCAAAUGAAAAGCCAGCCCGGCAAGGAAAGUUAGCUAGCCAGGCCAGCCCGGCUCAUAUGAACAGCCCCUAAAACUUUAAAUUAAUCUUCCCUUGUCAGUUUGCGACCCGAGCGACCAAGUCGCGAAUGGUCGACUUGUGUCGCUUGCAUGAAAUUUAAAUCGCAUUAAAAAUUUUUGCGCGAAUAAUUUUGACAUAUUAAAAGGGUGUGUACAUUUAAUACAAUUACUUCACUGCGCCAACAAUGGGUCUACAAAAACAAAAACAUUCUCUAGACUAGAAUUGAUAUUUCUUGGUCGUCGAAUAAAACAGUUUGCACCAAGUGUGGAAACGAAAUGACUGCCCCAAGUUAAAUAAGCGCCGAAAGCUGUUCAAUGUAUCGAUCAACAAAAACAAGUGCAUGUAAAAACUUAUUGAAGCUUCACAGUUGUUUGUCUAUUUAAACAAUGUGUGCCGUAAUUAUGUCGACAAGAAUAGUCCGACUUAGUUUGCCAGCGAUUUUAUUAUCGUAGCGAGUAGAAGUUAAUCUAUAAACUGAAAAGAGUCAGACAACUGUAUUAUGUAAACAAUGACGUCACCGGUGGAUUUUUCCACCGGUGAUAUUUGGCACGCUGCAAGUGACAAAAGUCCUUUCCACAGAGGAAGUGAAGUGCGCCAUAGAAGGGCCUGGAAAGGACUUUGGAAAGUCUAGUCUCCAUCAGGAAUGAUUCUGUAGUAGAUAAAUGUGUAUGUGGCUGUUGUGGCAACUAGUCUUUUGGCAAAAGACUAAUUAUAUAGUAUCCACAGUUAUUACAUUGAAAUUUGCAAUAGUCAAAUUUUACAAAUAUUGGAAUUUAAACAAUUUUUUGCAUAUAGUAAUUUAAUUAAUAGUGUUCUCUUACCAAGGAAAAUUAUUUGCUUUUUUUCUUUUAGAUCAAGUAAACAAUGAGCUAGGAUAUAACAUGAUUAAAACGUUAUGCAAAAGAUAUAGAGCUACUCUGAAUGUGCAUUUUCACAGCUCUGGAUGUAAACUUGAAUAAUUAUGGUACAGUGUUACUCCAUGUUUCAUAUGACAUGUCUUAACAUAUGUCAUCUCUAUUUUUAACAAGGAUUGUCUAUUUAGUAUUAACUAAUACUGUUAAAUAUUUGUUCCUGCUAUGCUAAUAAACCUGCAUCUAAAUAACUAAAAAGACAAUACUUUUCUAAAUCUUUGAAUAAUGCAACUCAUUAAAAAUUUGCUUAUAGCAGGCCAUUUGCUAUGGCUGGCUACGCUAUACUGAUAAUACAAUUAUUUCAGGCAAGACAUUAUACAGCUAUUUCGAUUAAGGUUGUCUUUUGAAAACUAUAAACUCUGAGCGUGCAAGUGUUGAUGGUUUAAUUCUUAUUUAGACCCUUCUUUUAAACAAUACCUGUAGGCAUAUGGAAACUUACGAAAACCAACUUGUUACAAACUAAGGUCUAAGCCGGAGUUUAAAGGCUAAAUAAGCAAUAAACCACCAUCCCUUGCACUCUCCGAGUUCACGCUUUAAGCUCUUGGAAGGACAACCUUAAUUAACUGAAAUAGCUGUAUAACUAAUACAUGCAUGUGAGACAUUAAGUAUUAAGUUAACCAAUAAGGCAUUAUCUAUUAACUUUUGUGAUGUAUGUUUAUGACAAAAAAUCAACUUUGCACCAUAUUAUGCACUUUACAGUAUUAACAUUCACAGCGAAUUUACGAACAUUUAUAUGACCGACUUCAGUUAGUUAUCCAAGGCAUGACAACUUUAUAUCAAUAUUUGGUAACAGUUUUUUACUUAUCUUAAUAAAAAAAAACCCAAAAACCCCAUCUUUUUGGACUUCAUUAAUAUGUUAAUAUCUAACUUAUAACAACACCCACCCAGAUUAGCUUAUGCUAUUUUCGUGUGUGUUAAUUUAUGUGAAUAUCAACCUAUAUUAAAUAAAUUAAUGAAAUGAAAAAACAAUAUAAGUCACAAUAUAAAAACUAUGCUAUAUUAAAAUUUUAUAAUUUUUGUUGAUUGUGUUUGAAAACUUCCUGAUAAGUUAAUAUGACUUCAGUUGAUAAAGCAAUUGAAUCAUAAAGCAUUGAAUAUUUCGAUGUCUUCCUUGGUAACAGUAGUAUACUAGUUCUCAAAAACCCACAACUGCUUAUUAUAAAUAGACGACUCAUUAUAAUAUUUAAAUGCAUGAAAUGUUUUUCAGCAGUGAGUGCAUGCAUUUUGUUAUUGUCUUGAAAAUUAAAUUUUACGAAAAAAGGAGAAAUAAUGAAAAACUAUUGGCAUUGUUUAUUGAGUAUUGGCGUUGCCAUUAUUGUAUUAAUCAGCCAUUAAUAAUCAGGUGAUCGGUCUAAUGACUACACUUCAGAGUUUUGUUGAAGAAGUAAGUUGCACAACCAGUGAUGGGUUCCUGCAGGGAUUAAAGAGAACUGCGUGUGCACAAUACAUUACUCUAAGCAUUUAUUAAAUUAGUCAUACACGUACGAGCGGGGCAGUGACCCGGCUUUUUUUCGCGGGAAAUAUUCCUGCUUUUCGGGCAAAGACAAUAAAUCCUUACGUAUCCAUUUGAGAAAAUUAGAGAGAAAGUGACUUGGAAACACUUACAAUUAACCUCUAUAUAUUUCAAAUUGAGCGUAAAACUUGGUAAAAUACAGUCCGAAUUUGGACGCAUAGUAAAAUAUGCAUUGUGUCCCAAAAACCAUCCAUUCGUUUUUCUUUUGCAUCUCUUACAGGUAAACUACGUGAAGCGUUCCUCUUUUGAGUUUCUAAAUUGAUUGCAAUUUUCCUCAUUACUUUUGCAAUUUAAAAAACUCCCUUGCAAAUUCCUUGAGGGAAUUUGCAAUGUUGCUAAAAGCCAAAAAAAUUUCCUCAUUUCCUGUUAGAAGUUCUUACCUUCCUGUUACAAGUUCCUAACUUCCUGUUCUGUUCUGCGUGCUGUAAUUGGCUAACAAAAAUAAUCGACCAAUAACAACGCUCAGAACAGAACAGGAAGUUAGGAAAUUAAAACAGGAAGUUAGGAAAAUUUAAAAUGAAGUUUGGAAUAUUGCAACAGCCGAUAGGAACAUUGCAAAUUCCCUGAAGGGAUUUGCAAAGAGUUUUUCAAAUUUGCAAAGCUAAUGAGGAAAAUUCCAAAUGAGUUACGAAGUCAAAAAGGAACGCUUCACGUAGUUUACCUGUAAACUGGUACAAUAAGUGCACGCUUUAAAUAAAGUUUGAUUAAAAAAUUAAGCAUACAAUGCGACAUCAAUUAAUGGACGUCGUUAACAAUACAAACAAAUCUUUACAUUUUUAUUUCAGCGUUUGUCACAGUGUGAUUUCUCACCCACACGAAAGUUAUUUGGACAACAAUAUUCUCCCAAGAAAGCGUAUUUAUAACACUUUGCUAUAAUGAAACAUGAAGAAAAACUAAAGAAAUUGGAAAACUUCGAGUUGGAGAGUUUGUACUUUUUAGUUGAU